GUUAGACUAUGUGCACACGGUAACGUUUCCGAGCCUUUCUAAAACGUCGUUUCCAAUUUUGUCAGUUUGACGCUCUGUCCACACGGAAACGUUUUCACGAGAUGCAAAUGUUUGUCUCGAUAAAAAUUCCAUCUCUAGCGGCUUGUUAUCACCAUUCAUUUUCCACCAGAUAAAGUCAUUACUUGUCAACGAGUUUCUUAAAAUGUUCUCUGCUCAUUAUCAUAAAGUAAACAGUUUUAUAUGUACUGUUUAGCAUCACCGAUACGAAGUCUGUCGCUUCUUCGAAAGCAAACCGCAUUUUAAAUCGUUCAUAAAUCAUUAUACAUUUGAAAGGC
Molecule: non-coding RNA, 335 nt
Organism: Paramuricea clavata
Lineage: Eukaryota; Metazoa; Cnidaria; Anthozoa; Malacalcyonacea; Plexauridae
Source: the annotation of a GenBank genome assembly